This 73-nucleotide transfer RNA is filed under the name Mus musculus (house mouse). RNAcentral's name for it is "tRNA-Ser". Lineage: Eukaryota; Metazoa; Chordata; Mammalia; Rodentia; Muridae. The record is from RNAcentral.
GGAGAGAUGGCUCAGUGGUUAAGAGCACUGACUGCUCUUCCUGAGGUCCUGAGUUCAAUUCCCAGCAACCACA